RNAcentral lists this small nuclear RNA (92 nucleotides) under Panthera leo (lion). Its description in RNAcentral is "U2 spliceosomal RNA (ENSPLOG00000019732.1)". It matches the Rfam family "U2 spliceosomal RNA". From Rfam's summary of the family: U2 is a small nuclear RNA (snRNA) component of the spliceosome (involved in pre-mRNA splicing). Lineage: Eukaryota; Metazoa; Chordata; Mammalia; Carnivora; Felidae. The record is from Rfam by way of RNAcentral.
AUCGCUUCUCAGCCUUUUGGCUAAGAUCAAGUGUAGUGUCUGAUAAGACCCUCCCUCUAAGGAAACGCAUAAUUUGAAGAGGGUUAUCUUUU